AGCCUGCGGUUUAAUCGGACUCAACGCCGGGAAAACUCACCAGAUAAGACAGCUGAAUGAUAGUCGGGCUGAAGACUCUACUUGACUAGCUGAGAGGAGGUGCAUGGCCGUCGUCAGUUCGUACUGUGAAGCAUCCUGUUAAGUCAGGCAACGAGCGAGACCCACGCCAACAGUUGCCAGCUCGUCCUCCGGGAUGGUGGGGACACUGUUGGGACCGCCUCUGCUAAAGAGGAGGAAGGAAUGGGCAACGGUAGGUCAGCAUGCCCCGAAUUAUCUGGGCUACACGCGGGCUACAAUGGGUGGGACAAUGGGUAUCGACACCGAAAGGUGAAGGCAAUCUCCUAAACCCAUCCGUAGUUCGGAUUGUGGGCUGCAACUCGCCCACAUGAAGCUGGAAUCUGUAGUAAUCGUGUCUCAAAAUGGCACGGUGAAUAUGUCCCUGCUCCUU
This 448-nucleotide ribosomal RNA is filed under the name uncultured Methanomicrobiales archaeon. RNAcentral's name for it is "bacterial SSU rRNA". It matches the Rfam family "Archaeal small subunit ribosomal RNA", at positions 892 to 1338 of the family's 1478-position model. The record is from RNAcentral. Lineage: Archaea; Methanobacteriati; Methanobacteriota; Methanomicrobia; Methanomicrobiales.